CACACACACACUCAGGGAGAAGAAAGUGAAUGGAUAAGAUCUCUCAGGCUGCACACUCCCAGUAAUUAAUAACAGGCAAGCGCCUUCCGUCAAGGGCUUGCUGAGAUGUGGGGCGGUGGAUGAGGGCUGUGUGUAAGCAGCAUGGAUUGCCAGCCAGCAAAGGACGCAGACAGAGCCUGCACCCACCAGGCCUCAGAGCCCUGAGAGCAAGUAAGGACAAGACACAGACCCAUGGAGCGUGGCACUAAUUCCGGGGAUGUGGACUUGCUCCAUUGACAGGGUAUGAUGACAGCUUUGGUGCUGCCACAGAAGUAUGUUCACUAUUCAGCUUGCCAAGUGAAGAACCAAAGAUGCAAGAGCAUGAAGUUCUAAGAGCAUAGCUGGGCCAAGGGAUCAGGAGUGCUGCCUGGAUUGUGCUGACUACUUCUUGAACACCCUCUCACCCAGCCUUGCUGCAGCCUUACCUGCAAACCCACCUGUGGUGGAAUGGGAGGGGCUGUUCUUAUCCUCAUCUGAUAGAUGAGAAGACUGUGACUCAGAGAGGUGAAUGACUUGGCCAAAGUCUAGCAACCAACGUUUUUCAGAGUGCUGUCCUGCUCUGAUGCUGACACUCUUAGUCUCUCACCCCCUAGAUUUCCCAAGCAGGAGGGCCACUCAAUUUCUGCAUCAACCAAAUGCAAGGAACACACUUGAAGGCUCUCCAAGUGGUCCUGCUGAAGUCCCCAUCACUUCUCGUGAGUUGAGAAAAACUUAGCACUGGAACAGUUCGCUAAAGAACUCUCUUAACAAAGCCUACCCACACUCAUUUAGAAGUGGUCGAGGAGACUGAACUGAGACAAAUAACAGCCUGGGCUCUUAGUGUCAACUUGCCUGGUUUCAAACGCUUGUGCCAGAUAAUCUUGGAAAUGGACCAGAUGACACCUCAACCAAACUAAUAUUCUCCAAUCGAUGAACUCAUAAGCUCAUAAAACAACGUGGAAAGAGAAGGAGGAGGUCAGAGAAGACGGCAUGAAUGAGCAAAGAGGCUGCCAUUCCUCAAAGAUAUUCCUAGAAUCCAGAAGGGCUGCUGGCUCUGAGAAGUUCAAGAGAUGACUGCCAGAUCACAGACCCAUGACUGUAGUCUCACAGCAAAUCCGAAAGCAAAUUCCUACAACCAGUGCUGGUAAUGUUUCCCAAAAUUUCAGUAUGUGAUCUUAAAG
This 1199-nucleotide long non-coding RNA is filed under the name Equus caballus (horse). Its description in RNAcentral is "lncRNA (ENSECAG00000058270.1)". The record is from RNAcentral. Lineage: Eukaryota; Metazoa; Chordata; Mammalia; Perissodactyla; Equidae.